CACAAGCCGGAAGUGCAGGGAAAGGAGGCGUGUCAAACUUAAUUGUUUACGAGUGGUCUUCUGACUGGGCACACCAAAUAGCGGAGUGGUUUGAGUUAUUUUCAGCAGAUUUAGGACGGCUUCAGUGAUUUGUAAUGCUCGGAGAGGAGAGAUCUACUCUGUCUGAGCUAGCGAAGAUGACGGCCGCAAGUCAAGCCGAGAGGACUGUGCUGGAGGAGGAAUUUAAUUGGCUGCUCAAAGAAGAGGUGCAUGCGGUGCUUAAACAGCUGCAAGACAUUUUGAAGGAGGCGUCCAGGCGUUUUUCAGUGCCGUCACCAGGACAGGAAGGACAGCUGAAACAAGAGAACUUUAUUCUGGGCAGCUCAACGAUGGACCAGGUGAAAGGGGUUUUGACGCUACAAGGAGAAGCUCUAACUCAGGCUGAUAUUAACAUUAAAGCUGCUAAAAGCAGUCAAGUAAUGCACUUUGCAUUCCGAGAUGAUAAACAGUGGAAAUUGCAGCAGAUUCAGGAUGCCCGAAACCAUGUGAACCAGGCCCUGCAAUUACUAAGCAGCCAUGAUGAGAGUUAUCAUUUCAAAACUGGGGCUGAAGUCAAUAAGCUUAUGGAUGCAGUAAUGCUUCAGUUGACCCGAGCCCGAAGCAGACUCACAACCCCUGCCAGCAUGACUCUUCCUGAGCUCGCAGCCAGUGGCCUAAUGAAAAUGUUCACACCUCCAAUGCCUGGUGACAUGAUAGUGAACUUCUAUAUCAAUCUCAGUAAAGUGUGUUUGACGGUGUAUCAACUACAUGUCCUGCAGCCUAACACUACCAAGAACUUCAAAUCAGCAGGAAGUUCAGUGCUGCAUAAUCCAGGAGCAAUGUUUGAAUACAACAACACAAAGUUUGAGGUGAGCCAGGUCCAUAAGGUGGAGUGCGUGGUGCCGUGGCUGAAUGACACGCUGGUGUUUUUCACCAUUUCCCUGCAGCUCUGUCAGCAGCUCAAAGAUAAGAUUUCGGUCUUCUCUAGUUUCUGGAACUACAGAGCAUUUUAAGCUAUUUCUGACCAAAACUCUACAGUGAAUAAUAAUACAAAUGAUCAAAUGAAUUAUGCUCUAGGAUGCACUAGGAACAAAAAAAGUUCCGUGAAAUAAUCUGUCGUGAUUUGACUGUAUGACCAUGUAUUAAUUUUGUGUGCUUAUUGUUCAGCAGCAGAGUGCGCUGUGUAUGUAGUAUAUGCACUGAAUUCGUUCAUUUGAAAUGACAGACUCUUCAGAUGAAGGUAUUCAGUGGCAUAUUUUUUUGUGUUUCUGCAGUAUUUGUCAUUAUCAGUGUUGACUGUUUGUCAGUAAUCUUGCCUAUAUUGAAGUUAACCUCAUCUAAUAUGCGUCUAGGCUUUAGGAAGGAAAUGCUACUAAAUACACAUUGCUUACGUUCAUAUUUGUCACAAAAACCGUGAAAUACUCCAAAUGAUUUGUUGAGUGACCUCUUCAGACUCCUUUUACCAGUGUUUUUACCUUUUAGUCCAGGGGGUUGUAACAUUUAACACUUGAUCAUUAUCUGAUGCCAGGGACUAUCAUCGGUGCACAACAGUAAAUGCAUCGAGACCAUUAGCAUAUGCUUAUGAAUGUGCAUUAAUGACCAACAGCGUAUUUGCCAUCCUGACUCAGCUGUGGUAUGACUAUAUUAACACUAAAUGACAGAUAACAGUGAACAUGUCAGGGAUUCAUAUUCCAUUACAGUUAUACACAUUCCUGUGAAUGACUGCUUAGGGAGCAGAGUUCAGAGUUUCUAACAAGCAUCAUUCCAUCAUGAAAAGGAAAGGAAAGGAUGUUGAGCGAUAGUUCAGAUGCCGUUCAGGGUUUCAGAUCAUUACCGUUAGUUAACUUUGUCAGCUUUUAUUGCUAAUUUUUAUUUAUUUCAUGUUCACUUGGUUUGUGUCCUCAUUGAUUUCUUGCAUGUUAAUUUGAAUAUCGAUUCAUGUUUUAAGUUGUUUAACUAUUUUCAUGUAUAUUUCAAGCUUAAUAUGGAAUAUUUUGUGCAAUAAACAUACUAUGAACAUUAUGAAAUUUA
Carassius gibelio (silver crucian carp) is the source of this 2049-nucleotide RNA transcript. It is a transcript of the gene named protein rogdi homolog, with no coding region annotated. NCBI's taxonomy places the organism in Eukaryota, Metazoa, Chordata, Actinopteri, Cypriniformes, Cyprinidae. The record is from RefSeq and is a predicted model, not a curated record. The transcript has 12 exons.